Molecule: non-coding RNA, 101 nt
Organism: Acanthosepion pharaonis
Lineage: Eukaryota; Metazoa; Mollusca; Cephalopoda; Sepiida; Sepiidae
Source: the annotation of a GenBank genome assembly
CGUUGAACCACCGGUCCCCAACACGAUCACUGAGGUUAAGCAACAUCGAGCCUGGUCAGUACCUAGAUGGGUGACUGCUUGAGAAUACCAGGUGCUGUAAG